Molecule: long non-coding RNA, 6222 nt
Organism: Cotesia glomerata
Lineage: Eukaryota; Metazoa; Arthropoda; Insecta; Hymenoptera; Braconidae
Exons: 5
Source: RefSeq, a predicted model, not a curated record
GUUAUGUUAUCUUAUGAGAAUGGUAUAGAGCAGAGAACAACCAGAACAUUUGACGGGCAACACGCAUGAUUACGACGCGACGUCACGCCAGCUGCUGAAAUUAUAUAUUGUGAAGUACUAUAGAAACUAUUACAAGAGGACUAAUCCAUGUAAUAAUGAUAUUGUAAUUGUAAUAAUAUAAAAUAUAAUAUAAUUAAUUACGGAUAAAUUAUCAAUGAUUAAUAAUGAUAAAAAUUUUUAUCCAGAAUUAAGGUACACCAACAAGGGACCAACUAGAAAAUGCAAUCAGAAUAGUAAUUAAGGAUUCAGUUAACGCUCCGAUUGUAGAACGCAACCUAAUUUAAACAUACAAAAGUGUAAGCCGGGGUACUUGGAACUUUCCUACUUCUCCUCAUCCGUCUUGGCUCUGUUGACUCUGGGUGCAAUUCGCGAAUGUGAAGGAGGGGAAAAAAAUGAGGGAUACUUGUCGGUUGAGUCUAAGAGGGAGUAAGAAAGAUUGGGUGAAAAAAGGGGCUGAGAAAUAGAAGAAAGAAGAAGGGGAGUCACGAAGGUGCAUGGAUGAAACGAGACGUCGUUGCUGGCUAACAAAAUGGAGGCAGUAGGGGCUGUUGGCUCUUCUAUCCUUUAUCUUCAGUACUAUGGUUGUCUGGGAGUACGAUGAGAGGCCAAGGGAAUUCCUGAGCAUCUAUCACGCCCUUUACUCUUCUUGGUCUGCCAUAAUCCUCGUUUUCUGGUCGCCUUGAUCGUCUCACCACCGGCAAUUGUUGUCCUAGUCAUGCUCGUCUUGGUACAUAAUGAUGAUAGUCGUAUGGCUGGUGGCUGGUAGCUGGUAGCUGGUAGCUGGUUGUCCAAGUCCAGAAAUAAGGUACAAGGAAGAGUAGUUGCAAUAACAGUAUGUACUGCCAGGAAGUACAUAGUUGGUGCUUGAGCUUGAUAUGGAGCUAGCUCGUUUUGCUCCAAAAGAACAUAAGGACGCUAAAAAUUCAACGCUGGUAUUCUUCUAGCUUGAAGAUCCGACAUCCUUGCUGGCAAAUCCUCCAGACAGUGUACUACUGUACUGUAUUCUCGGUAUUCAUGCAGUACUAUGUACUGCAACUACUACCACUACCACCACUACCACUGCACCGUAAACUACGGUAUUCCAGUGUUAUAAGUAGGUGUGUAGCGAGAGAAAGAGAAAGAGAAAAAGAGGGAGGUCGUAGAGUAGGUUGGAAGAGGCAAAAGAAAAUAGAAAGAAAAAUCCGGUAGCCAAUGGGAGGUGGAGUCGACGAGGAGCGGGAAGAUCCGACAACGCUGCAACCGAGUUUUUGUUUACCGCCCGGUUGUCAGAGUGAGAGGAACCGCCUGUGAGGAUCCGAAAGAGAGAGACCUCCGGAAUUAAAGAGAGUAAAUGCCUUGCAGCAUCAUCCUUCAACUCCUGUCCUGGAGCAUCAGAUACAUAUUCUACUGGACUUGACGGAUGAAAGAUAUCACCAAGAAAAUAUCACGAAAUAUCUACUACUUGUUCAGCUACUGUUCAAAAAUUGUACCAAUCUAUCUAAAGUUUCACCUACAAUGUUUACGCCCAUGCUAAAAUAUUGGUUGGUAUUUUUGUGUAAAUAUGAAAAUAUAAAUAUUUACGUAUCUAGAUUCACUGUUUUUAAUAGAGAUAAUAUUUUUUCUUUUAUGGUUUUUUUUUAUAAAUUUCCGCUCUGGGUUCUGGAUACUGAGAAAAAACUAUGUUCACAUAAAAGAAGAGUUAACAUCCCAGGAUCCACGCAAUCCCAAUUAGAGGACUGUAAAAAUAUUUGCUAAUAAUUAAAAAGGUAAAAAAUGUAUGGUUUUGUCGGAUGGUUCUAGUGCGGACCGAAUAGUUUGUGUAUGCUGUAAAAAUAUCUUUGAGCUAGGGGUAAACAUGCAGAACCGGCGGACUUUGUUAAAUAAAGUGUAAAUGAGUUACAUGAAAAAAAGUCAAUGUAAGUUAUUGAAUAUAAAAAUAGACGGUGGAUGAUAUUGUAAUAGAUAGACAGAAUACGAACAAAAAAAGAGAAAAAAUAAAGGAGAAAAACAAAGUUGAAAUCAAUGAGCCGAUAUAUUGUGUCUAAUCGUCAGUGGUGUAUACAAACACCUAAUAAAAUGUUUGUUGGGUCAUCGUUGGUAUAUUAUAUGAAUUAUCGCUUCAACACUUGAUUGUGUGUCAAACUGGAAAACUUUCGGCCAGGUGGAAUAAUUUUCAACCACAGAUGACUGGUUUAAAAAAAUACACCAUCAGUUUCUUUGUUGUGACUAUUGUUAAAUACAACACUAAACACCAGCUAUUGUUACUUUUACUUUAAUUUAUUAUUCGAUGGCCAAUGGGGCGCUAUUAGUCACCCUAUUAUUGUUUGUACACCCAAUAUCGUUCAACAAACUAUAAUAUAAUUUAUCAAUAAAGUCGCAUUGUUAUGUCAACUUUGGUUAAACAAAAAAAAAUCUGUAAAAGACUUGCAUUUGUGAAAAGACACUCUAUUAUGUGGGAAGAAAUACAUCAGGUGUAAGAAGAAUGCAUGAUUCGGCGGGAAAGACAUCAGAUGGAAUGAGAGUGUGACAAUUGCUCGUGUCGGAAAGUAGUCUCUUAUUCGGAGGUGACAAAGGUGAAAGAGGUGAAUGAGGAGGCAGGAGUAUCAAAAGUAUCACCGCGAGUAGCAGUUGUAGUAGAGUAUAAGUAAUAAGAAUAAGAAUAAGAAGAGGACUAGCAAGUGAACGAGCUCUGGUGGUUAAAGAAAAAGAAGUAUUAUAAAAGCGGAGAGAAUAAGAUGAGGAAGAAGAGUAGAGUAGGGCACUAGUGGGGCAAGCGACUACCGUUGGGUCCAUUCAGACCAGUUGCCCGGUAUACGACGCGAUUCUUACUUCUUGGAGUAAAAAAAUAAAAAAUACUGAAAAAUAACUAAAAAAAUACAAACAAGCAAAACAAGUUGAAGCGCCCCUGAAUUCCAUAACCGCACCCCAGUUCCCAGUUCUACUCCUUUUUCUUCUUCUUGCUCGUACCGUCUUUACUUGUUUCUCGUUUUCUUCCUUUUAUUAUCCUAUAUAGUACUUUCUCGCAUUGUUCCUCCUGCACCAAGAGAGUUCCUUCACUCUACUCGAACCUCCCAGACCUCCAGUAACAACAAACUUCUUCGGUGCCCAUGACCUCAUCUUUUGGCUUCCUCACUUUCAUUUCUUCUCAUCCUUUCUCCGCCCUCAAACCAUUGUCACUUGUAACUUGUACUAAUAAAAUUACUAGUUUUUUUAUUUUUUUUUGUUUUUUCUCUGUUUUACUCUUCUUUGCUCAAGCAUUUUUAUUUUACAAGGUGAAAUAAAAAAUAAAAACGUUCAAGUGAAUGAACAAAGGGAGCGAUGAAAAAUAAGCAAAAAUAUGAACUGAAAAAAUAAUCAUUGAGAUGGAAUUUUAGCAAGGUUAUUAAGAAAAAUUGUAGACGAGUGGAUGGAAAGGUGGUACAUUGAGUGUCCCCUUGAAGAGUUCUCAACUAGACGAUGGUGCAUUAGAACAUGACCGGGUGCGAUAGUUAGAGGUAGAGGGUACAUGUCUUCUUGGUACACCUUAAACUAUAUAACUACAUAUAUAUUAUGUAUAAGAAGGUAGUAGUUAGACGGCAAGGCAAGUGCCUACGAAAAGCAUCGAGAAAAAAUUUUGAGGGUAUGUGCGAUGGUGGAAAAAGCAAGUAGAGGAAAAAGAGCCAGGCGGGCGCCUGCAGAGAGGACAGGGGGCCAACUGCCGGAGGAUGAGAAUGAGGUGGUGGUUGUUGUUGUUGUAGUAGUAGUAUUAGUAUUAGUAUUAGUAGUAAAAGUAGUAGUAGUAUUCAGAGAAAUAUAAAGAGGAAGAGGAAGAGAAAAAAAGAGGUGGCUCGGAGGAAAGAGGCACCAUCAGGGGGUGGACGAAUGCAGGUAGGGGGCAUAAGGGGGGCAGCAGUUGCCCCAGUAAAAAUCGAUCCACCCCACUCUUUUAUACUUUUACUACCCCAGGAAUGGUGGAUUGGGGAACGCGAGGGAUUGAGAGGGUGGUUGAAGCUGCAGGGUUCGCUGCCGCGUCGGGACGCCUUGUUCGACGUCUACUCCACUGUGUAUGUACAUUUGUGCAAGUAAAACUUAUAUACAUCCAUAUAUGUAGUAUAUAGUACAUAGGGUUCUAUUUGGGGGAGAAUUCGCGAUAGUGGACGGGUGCAUCAGUGUGAGUUGAGUCGAGUUGGUGGAAGCACAGCCAGAGGUACUGAGUUGAGAGGUAUGUAGAGGGUAAGAGGCUGGGGGUGGAGACGGAGGUAGAGGUGGGUGGAAGAGGCGGUAGGGCAUGGGCAUGACUGGGGCUGGGGUUGGGGUUGUUGCUGCUGCUACUGCUACUGCUACUGCUACUGCUGAUGCCGAUGAGGGUAGGGUAAGACGAAAAAGACGGGCACGCCAACCGAAGCGGGGGUGGAAGAGCAGUACCCGGUUUACUUGGUAUGUCAUGCUCUGUGGCAACGUCGCCCCUACGAUUUCAUGGAUAUAUGUGUGUGAUAUAUAUGGAUAUAUGUAUAUGUAUAUGCCAUCACGGCGCUUCUGCCGUCCGCUGCACAACGAUGAAAAAUUACCCAGAAGCACCAGUGAGCGGUUUUUUCUCACCGGCCCGACGUCGUCUAGCGUGGAGUCCGCGUGCCUGACAGACAGCUGCACCCGAGCCCUGAUAUAUCGACCGGCCGGACCUACUCCUAACCAACCACCCUCGCUGCCACCAACUCUUUUUUCCAACCUCCUCUCCUCUUUUUUAUCAUCGCUUUCUCAUUCUAUUCUGGUACUCACGGAGAAGCUUUGCGCUCUCACUCCCUCAAGGUUCCGCCAAGCUCUUUCUUCGUUCUUCCUCAUCCGACUAUACUAGGCAGUCUUCUCUACUCGUGGGGAGUUGGGCAGAGGUUCUCUCUAUUAUACACCUGCACCUAUUUGGAGUCCAACACGCGGGGGUGCCAAGCAUGCCUCAAGCCGCCAGCCAUCCUAUUGCACUCAUGUCAACAUAUACUCUUGUGUGAAUAUCUGUGUGUUAAAAUUUAUAUGUGUGUAUGAGCACUCACACAAUCAGCCACGUAUUUUCCUUUUCCACCGAAAAAUACUCACGCCCUGACGACUCUGGCUGGAAAAAAAAAUUCAACGAGAAUUAAAAACACAAAAAAAUGCGAUGGAGAAAAUAGCGAGAAAAAUAUGUAUGGGUAUAUACAUAUAUGGAUAUAUAUAUAUAUUUUUUUUUUUAAAUUAAAAAAUAAAUAAAUUUAAAAAGCUUAAAAUAAGAAAAAAAGUCAAGGUACCGGUAAACGAGGGUAUAAAAUAAUUGAAGACGAAGAAGGGUUACUCUAAACUAGUACGUCAAAAAAUCAAGAGAGAAAUUUUAAUGAAUUUCCUCAGUUUAGUUUUUUAUUAUAUGUGUAAUUUUCUUUUUUUUUUUUCGUUUUUAGUCUUUAAAAAUAGGAAAAUGGAAGAGGAAAAACAUGUGUGCAUGUGUUUGGCAAGUUGAUCACGAAAAACUACUUUAAAAGUCUUUUUUCCUAAAUAAUUUUAUUAUGUACAACAUGCCUACAUUAUUUUUUUAUGCAGAGCAUUGAGAUUUUUAUACAUUCCAGUGGAAUGCGUUGACAUUAUUAAUAGUAAUAAUUACGAUAACUUAUUUUGUUGUUGUUGUUUCUUUUUUUUUAUCACUCCGAUUACAAUUUUUAAAAUCGAAAAUAAAUAAAUAAAAUAAACAUUUCUGCUUGGUACAUUUACACAAUUUACGGUAAAGGGACGCUUUUUUAUGUUUGUUAAAUAAAAUAAACUUCUCAAUGUUUGUUUAUUUUUUUCGAUUCAUUUUUUUUCUAAUUUUUAUUUACUUUUUUUAUUAAUCAUAGAUUAGUUGCACGUUACCAUUGUCAUUUAUCAACGUGCCGCGUUUAACUGAUAAAUGAGAAUAUACAACCUCUUUGGCAUUUGUACGACGUAAAAAAAAAGGAAGCUGGUAUUAUAAGGCAGUAAAAAGGAUAUCAUACGGCACAAAGAAUUUGAGUUUAACAAGUAAAGAAGAAAAAAAAGAGAAAUCUAAAAAAUAAAUAAUUACCAUGACAACUUAAGAAAAUGCAAGUUUGUUUUUGUUUAGUUUGAAGGUAAACAAAGUAAUAGUAACAGUAAAUAAUAAAUAUUAAAAUAGUACAAACGGGUAUAGAUAAACUCAGAAAAUAAAAAAAAAAAAUACAAAAAAAAAAAGUA